AUGCUCCUGCUCCAGCCGGCAUCUGGCGGAGCAUCGCCACUCCGACCCCCUCCCUUCCCCACAUGCUCCUCUCGAUCCCGUCCCCUCCCUCCCUGUCGUCUUGUCCUUGCGACGCCCACCCUCCACCAGGCCCUCCGCCAGCCCGAGCCCCUCGCUCCCUUCUCCACCAGGCCAUCCACCUUCGCUCGACUUGACCAUGUCGUUGUGGGGGAUGGGGUUGUUGGGCUCAUGGCCGAGCUCUACAAGGUGGAGCUCGUGCGCGCCCACGACGAUCCUGAGCGCAACGCUGACUUCUGCUUCCUCUACUACGCGUACGCCAAGGCCGCGGUGGAGCGCGCCGCGCAGGUCAACGGCGUAGGUCGCGGGCGUGGCGGAGCCCAUCCAUCCACCCAUCUUCCCCAAAGUUUCCUUCGACAAGUAGCAGCAGCGGAAGGCGAUGGCAACGAACAUGCAGAUGGGCAGCGGCUCUCUCUCAUCAACAACACCUUCUACUCCAACAAGGAGAUCUUCCUCCGCGAGCUCAUCUCCAACUCAUCAGAUGCUCGAGAGCCUGACGGACAAGAGCAAGCUCGACGCCAGCCGGAGCUCUUCAUCCGCCUCAUCCCCGAUAAGCCCAACAAGACGCUCUCCAUCAUCGACAGCGGCGUUGGCAUGACAAAAUCAGAUUCCCUACACGUGUGUAUCUAUCAAGUCAUCUUACUAGUGGCUGUUCAAUUGACCUUGAUCAUGCAAGAACGUCACUGGAUUCUGGAAUCUGACCGAGAUCCCACCGGAGCUCUUCAACUCGAUGGAUCUGGUCAUGUUAACUCCGCGUCCUACUUCUCGACGGAAGCUGCAUCCUUCCCCAGUAGGCUUCCAAUGGCUGCGUGCCUGCGCCCAGCUGCUUCUGCGCCGGUGCCGACCACCGCGCCCAGUCACCACGGCCAGUGGCAGCAGUCUCCUUGGCGGAUGGCAGUGUGCAGGUGUGCACCCUGGCACUGGGGACUAGAGAUGUGCAGCAUAGAAGGCCAGCAGCUAGGAGCUGAGCAACUGUACACAGAGCCGGAGGUAAGAUUGAGGUGGACCAGAUUGCUAAUUUCUAACUAG
Molecule: ribosomal RNA, 1086 nt
Filed under: Triticum aestivum (bread wheat)
Lineage: Eukaryota; Viridiplantae; Streptophyta; Magnoliopsida; Poales; Poaceae
Description: partial small subunit ribosomal RNA
Source: RNAcentral